Pelobates cultripes (western spadefoot toad) is the source of this 613-nucleotide non-coding RNA. The record is from the annotation of a GenBank genome assembly. Lineage: Eukaryota; Metazoa; Chordata; Amphibia; Anura; Pelobatidae.
UUUAAAAUACCUUGAAGCUUUAUAUGUGGGAAACAAUAACAGUUAUAUUAAUCGCAGUAAUGCACUGCAACAAAACAUUGUAAUCAUAUUUUGGCAUAAGUAGUUUGACUAUUGUAUUGACUUUCCUAGCAUAACACAGAUUUAAAAUGAACGUCAAGGCAAGUCUGUUGUAAUUAAGUCAACACUGACUACAUUGUUGACUUGGAGCAAUGUUCCAAUCCAAACUGGGGAUUUAAUGCCUUGGGCAAAAGGAAACAGGCCUUGAUAGGAAAAUGAACCAUUUCGUCACAAUUACUGAUGCCAACAAGCAACCACACCUAUUAAACUCCUUUCCUGCCAGUUUAGAGACAAGGGAGAACGUCUCUUGAUGAUGAAGCUAAUGGAUUCAAUUCCAUCAGUCAACAUAUUUUUGGCAUUCCAAGAGGAUAACAUCAGUCUUACAUUGAAAGGAAACAUAUUGAUAUAUGUUCUUAUUCGUUAUAUGUUUUUAUAUCUAUUGGAGACAUCAUAAUGAAUGAGGGUCAGGACCACUCAAUAUAUCCAAUAAGCAAAUAAACUGAGGCCAUAGCUGUACUAAGGAGAUAAUUCAUAUUUUGGUGUAUCUGCAAUUGCC